GCCCCUGGACUUUUCCUAGGUUUCGUGCUAAUCUCUCCUGUGAGCUCACUCUACCCUUCCUCCUCCUCCAACUCUGUGAGGUUGCCCCUUAAACGUGUCCAAAUGGCACCAGGAGAAAUGGA
This 122-nucleotide long non-coding RNA is filed under the name Octodon degus (degu). RNAcentral describes it as "Nuclear enriched abundant transcript 1 conserved region 2 (ENSODEG00000020718.1)". The stretch from base 1 to 107 matches the Rfam family "Nuclear enriched abundant transcript 1 conserved region 2". Lineage: Eukaryota; Metazoa; Chordata; Mammalia; Rodentia; Octodontidae. The record is from RNAcentral.